Molecule: long non-coding RNA, 335 nt
Filed under: Populus trichocarpa (black cottonwood)
Lineage: Eukaryota; Viridiplantae; Streptophyta; Magnoliopsida; Malpighiales; Salicaceae
Description: long non-coding RNA (PTRI_LNC002900)
Source: RNAcentral
CUGGGUUGCAGGCGAAAACAAUAGCACUUCAUCACAGUGAACAAGUGUUUUUGGAUUAUAUAUCAGGGGGGUGAUUGUAUCAGGAAGAGCUCAACCUUUCCUAGUCAGAUCGUACAGAUUACUACAACACAUGGGUCAUCUAGCUUCCAGCCAGCCAAGGAAUGCUGUUUCUGCAGAAUUGUUCUACCUUCCAGCCAGCCAAGGAAUGCUGUUUCUGCAGAAUUGUUUGUUUACCGAGUUAUGCUCUUUCAUUUGAGAUAGUUAUAGAAUGUAGAUAAGUUAGCUUCACCUACCAAUUGCAUCAUUCUUUUCCCGAUUAAUAAAUCUCUUUCUUG